AGGGUUUGAUCAUGGCUCAGGAUGAACGCUAGCUACAGGCUUAACACAUGCAAGUCGAGGGGAAACGACAUCGAAAGCUUGCUUUUGAUGGGCGUCGACCGGCGCACGGGUGAGUAACGCGUAUCCAACCUGCCCACCACUUGGGGAUAACCUUGCGAAAGUAAGACUAAUACCCAAUGAUAUCUCUAGAAGACAAUCUGAAAGAGAUUAAAGAUUUAUCGGUGAUGGAUGGGGAUGCGUCUGAUUAGCUUGUUGGCGGGUAACGGCCACAAGGCGACGAUCAGUAGGGGUUCUGGAGAGGAAGGUCCCCCACAUUGGAACUGAGACACGGUCCAAACUCCUACGGGAGGCA
RNAcentral lists this ribosomal RNA (352 nucleotides) under uncultured bacterium. RNAcentral's name for it is "bacterial SSU rRNA". It matches the Rfam family "Bacterial small subunit ribosomal RNA", at positions 8 to 350 of the family's 1533-position model. The record is from RNAcentral.